UUGCUCCUUGGGUAGAACAUGAGACUCUUAAUCUCAAGGUUGUGGGUUCAAGCCCCAUGUCGAGCAAAA
This is a non-coding RNA of Podarcis lilfordi (Lilford's wall lizard), 69 nucleotides long. Lineage: Eukaryota; Metazoa; Chordata; Lepidosauria; Squamata; Lacertidae. The record is from the annotation of a GenBank genome assembly.